This 1212-nucleotide ribosomal RNA is filed under the name Triticum aestivum (bread wheat). RNAcentral's name for it is "partial small subunit ribosomal RNA". Lineage: Eukaryota; Viridiplantae; Streptophyta; Magnoliopsida; Poales; Poaceae. The record is from RNAcentral.
AUGUGUGGGGUUCUUGGGGUUCAAAUGAGGGGAAAAAGUGCCUUUCCAGCCAUGGUCCUUCCCGAGUCGGUCAGAGGGUGGCAGUCAACCUGGUUCUACUGCCAAGACCAGCUGAUGCCAGAGCAGUCGACUGGACUCCCUCCUUUUUCCAUGGACCGAGUGAGCAAGCCGUCCUCUUUGAAGGUGGUCCCGGAGGAGAAGGCGCGGGUUAAGGUGCUGGUCGAGCGUGUACUCCAGCUUAUCCGUGACGGGGUGACCGGCAUGGAUCUCUUGGAGGUCUUCCUCCGACGACGCAUCCAGCCGCUUCAAUAUCGAGACCAUCCGAUGUGGAUGUAUUCUCGUACUGAAGACACCACUCGGAUCCACCCGGAGGAGGUCGAGGAUGCCACGCUGGAGAGGUGGAUGACUGCCAUCACAGGGAGCAAGGAUAACCCUCGAGGAGCUAGGAGGAUUCCUCCACUCGACCAGUCAUAUGAAGUAGAAAAGGUCACUACCGAGAUGUAUUCGAUGCCCAACGGGGCGCAAGAACAGAUCGAGGAGGAGGAGGGGAGCGGAGGUGAAAGUCAGGAGGAGUGGCAAUCUGAUGAUGAGGAGGAUGAAGAAGACGACGACUCUGGUGAAGAGGAGGAGGAGGAAGUCGACCCUCCCUGCAUUGAAAGGCGAUCCAAGCUCGCCCAUGACCCCGCAGUCGAGCGUGGCAAAGCGACUGUGCCUGUUGGGCAGUCGACGAAACGCCCUCGGACGACCUCUCCGGCGCCGACUGAGAAAGCGCCGAAGCAAGCCCGAGCGACGUCAUCAAAGCCGACGAAGGCCCUACCGAAGAUGAGGAUGGUAAUUCCCACUAUUUCCGGUGCUGCUACCUCCGAGACCUCAGCCAGGAACAAGGACCAAGAAAUGAAAGAUGCUGCCACCUCCAACCUUGCCCCACCUCAUGUCACUGAUCUCCCUGAUGAUGAUGAUGAGGCGCUGCUGAGGCCGAGGAGGAAUAAAAAGGCGCCUGCUGUCAAAACUUCUCAAGCUACGUCAGCACCUGAGACGCUGGUUCAGGAGGGAGGCAACGUCACUCGGACUUCUGUGUCCUUUGCUGUGCCGCUGACGAGUGUUCGACCUUCAUCGUCGACUGCUUAUCCACCUUCCCUUUUCGCCACACAGCAUGUCCCAGAGGACCAAGCGGGUGCUGCUAAGGAGGCUAUACGCCAGGCGGGGUCAUGA